UACGGGGGGGGUAAGCGUUGUUCGGAAUUACUGGGCGUAAAGGGCUCGUAGGCGGCCAACUAAGUCAUACGUGAAAUCCCUCAGCUUAACUGGGGAACUGCGUCUGAUACUGGAUGGCUUGGAUUCGGGAGAGGAAUGCGGAAUUCCAGGUGUAGCGGUGAAAUGCGUAGAUAUCUGGAGGAACACCGGUGGCGAAGGCGGCAUUCUGGACCGACAUUGACGCUGAGGAGCGAAAGCCAGGGGAGCAAACAGG
Molecule: ribosomal RNA, 253 nt
Filed under: uncultured bacterium
Lineage: Bacteria
Description: partial 16S ribosomal RNA
Rfam family: Bacterial small subunit ribosomal RNA
Source: RNAcentral